UACAGAGGUGGCAAGCGUUGUUCGGAAUUACUGGGCGUAAAGGGCGCGUAGGCGGCCAUCUAAGUCAGACGUGAAAUCCCCCGGCUUAACCUGGGAACUGCGUCUGAUACUGGACGGCUUGAGUAUGGGAGAGGGAUGUAGAAUUCCAGGUGUAGCGGUGAAAUGCGUAGAUAUCUGGAGGAAUACCGGUGGCGAAGGCGGCAUCCUGGACCAUUACUGACGCUGAGGCGCGAAAGCCAGGGGAGCGAACGGG
RNAcentral lists this ribosomal RNA (253 nucleotides) under uncultured bacterium. RNAcentral's name for it is "partial 16S ribosomal RNA". It matches the Rfam family "Bacterial small subunit ribosomal RNA", at positions 524 to 776 of the family's 1533-position model. The record is from RNAcentral.